UCAGCCUCCGUGGCCACGCGCGGCGGCGGCGGCGGCGGCAGGUGCGAUAUGGCCAGGUGCGGCAGGGCCAGAUGAGCGUCGCAGGAAGGUGGUAUGUGACGGGCCAUCUGUUAACGGGGAGAAAGCUGACGGGUGGCACCUUGUCCCAGAUCGGCCAGUCGCCUGGCGCCUCCCCCGGCACCGCUCAUACUAGUGCCACUCCGAGCUACUGCGCGGCCCAGUCACUCAGUACCCGGCCGAAGCUCAGCACGAACAGUGCCAAUCCACGCAGGAGUGUCACGCCCGCCCGUGCAGUCCGUCGCCGUUGUCGUUCCGUGCCUUAGUGCCGCCGUGCCUUAGUAACCAGUGUCAGACAGAGAUUAGUGUCUCUCAAUGCCACGCGUUUAGCGCACUGUGAAACGGAAUAGCUCAUUCAUUCUGCAAGUGGAAACUUGUGCGAACCUCACUACACGGAGACUUGAUCUACAGGUUUGGCUCCGCUGACCCGUCUGCGGCAGCCGGGACGCCCUUCCUCGAAAUUGCAGGUGAGCGGGAGCAGGUGCGGCCCGUGCCAGCUACAGGCGGUACUGCCGGACGG
RNAcentral lists this long non-coding RNA (577 nucleotides) under Penaeus japonicus. RNAcentral describes it as "uncharacterized LOC122263469". Lineage: Eukaryota; Metazoa; Arthropoda; Malacostraca; Decapoda; Penaeidae. The record is from RNAcentral.